Molecule: ribosomal RNA, 1254 nt
Filed under: uncultured bacterium
Lineage: Bacteria
Description: bacterial SSU rRNA
Rfam family: Bacterial small subunit ribosomal RNA
Source: RNAcentral
UUUGAUUAUGGCUCAGGAUGAACGCUGACAGAAUGCUUAACACAUGCAAGUCAACUUGAAUUUGGGUUUUUAACUUAGAUUUGGGUGGCGGACGGGUGAGUAACGCGUAGAGAACUUGCCUCACAGUUAGGGACAACAUUUAGAAAUGAAUGCUAAUACCUGAUAUUAUGGUUAUAGGGCAUCCUAUAACUAUGAAAGCUAUAAGCACUGUGAGAGAGCUUUGCGUCCCAUUAGCUAGUUGGAGAGGUAACAGCUCACCAAGGCGAUGAUGGGUAGCCGGCCUGAGAGGGUGAACGGCCACAAGGGGACUGAGACACGGCCCUUACUCCUACGGGAGGCAGCAGUGGGGAAUAUUGGACAAUGGACCGAGAGUCUGAUCCAGCAAUUCUGUGUGCACGAUGAAGUUUUUCGGAAUGUAAAGUGCUUUCAGUUGGGAAGAAAGAAAUGACGGUACCAACAGAAGAAGUGACGGCUAAAUACGUGCCAGCAGCCGCGGUAAUACGUAUGUCACGAGCGUUAUCCGGAUUUAUUGGGCGUAAAGCGCGUCUAGGUGGUUAUGUAAGUCUGAUGUGAAAAUGCAGGGCUCAACUCUGUAUUGCGUUGGAAACUGUAUAACUAGAGUACUGGAGAGGUAAGCGGAACUACAAGUGUAGAGGUGAAAUUCGUAGAUAUUUGUAGGAAUGCCGAUGGGGAAGCCAGCUUACUGGACAGAUACUGACGCUAAAGCGCGAAAGCGUGGGUAGCAAAACAGGAUUAGAUACCCUGGUAGUCCACGCUGUAAACGAUGAUUACUAGGUGUUGGGGGUCGAAACCUCAGCGCCCAAGCAAAACGCGAUAAGUAAUCCGCCUGGGGAGUACGUACGCAAAGUAUGAAACUCAAAAGGAAAUUGACGGGGACCCGCACAAGCGGUGGAGCAUGUGGUUUAAAUUCGACGCAAACGCGAGGAACCUUACCAGCGUUUGACUUCUUAGGGAUGAGAUAGAGAUAUUUCAGUGUCCCUUCGGGGAAACCUAAGAACAGGUGGUGCAUGGCUGUCGUUCGGCUCGUGUCGUGAGAUGUUGGGUUAAGUCCCGCAACGAGCGCGAACCCCCUUUCGUAUGUUACCAUUCAUUAAGUUGGGAACUCAUGCGAUACUGCCUUACGAUGAAGUAGGAGGAGGGUGGGAAUGAACGUCAGUUCUCUGUGCCCCCUUAUACGCUGGGCUACGCGCGUGCUAGAGUGGGGGAACGGAGAGUUGCGAAGGCCGUGAGGUG